AUAAUGGGUCAGCGACUUAUAUUCUGUAGCAAGGUUAACCGAAUAGGGGAGCCGAAGGGAAACCGAGUCUUAACUGGGCGUUAAGUUGCAGGGUAUAGACCCGAAACCCGGUGAUCUAGCCAUGGGCAGGUUGAAGGUUGGGUAACACUAACUGGAGGACCGAACCGACUAAUGUUGAAAAAUUAGCGGAUGACUUGUGGCUGGGGGUGAAAGGCCAAUCAAACCGGGAGAUAGCUGGUUCUCCCCGAAAGCUAUUUAGGUAGCGCCUCGUGAAUUCAUCUCCGGGGGUAGAGCACUGUUUCGGCAAGGGGGUCAUCCCGACUUACCAACCCGAUGCAAACUGCGAAUACCGGAGAAUGUUAUCACGGGAGACACACGGCGGGUGCUAACGUCCGUCGUGAAGAGGGAAACAACCCAGACCGCCAGCUAAGGUCCCAAAGUCAUGGUUAAGUGGGAAACGAUGUGGGAAGGCCCAGACAGCCAGGAUGUUGGCUUAGAAGCAGCCAUCAUUUAAAGAAAGCGUAAUAGCUCACUGGUCGAGUCGGCCUGCGCGGAAGAUGUAACGGGGCUAAACCAUGCACCGAAGCUGCGGCAGCGACACUGUGUGUUGUUGGGUAGGGGAGCGUUCUGUAAGCCUGCGAAGGUGUGCUGUGAGGCAUGCUGGAGGUAUCAGAAGUGCGAAUGCUGACAUAAGUAACGAUAAAGCGGGUGAAAAGCCCGCUCGCCGGAAGACCAAGGGUUCCUGUCCAACGUUAAUCGGGGCAGGGUGAGUCGACCCCUAAGGCGAGGCCGAAAGGCGUAGUCGAUGGGAAACAGGUUAAUAUUCCUGUACUUGGUGUUACUGCGAAGGGGGGACGGAGAAGGCUAUGUUGGCCGGGCGACGGUUGUCCCGGUUUAAGCGUGUAGGCUGGUUUUCCAGGCAAAUCCGGAAAAUCAAGGCUGAGGCGUGAUGACGAGGCACUACGGUGCUGAAGCAACAAAUGCCCUGCUUCCAGGAAAAGCCUCUAAGCAUCAGGUAACAUCAAAUCGUACCCCAAACCGACACAGGUGGUCAGGUAGAGAAUACCAAGGCGCUUGAGAGAACUCGGGUGAAGGAACUAGGCAAAAUGGUG
Molecule: ribosomal RNA, 1112 nt
Filed under: Escherichia coli
Lineage: Bacteria; Pseudomonadati; Pseudomonadota; Gammaproteobacteria; Enterobacterales; Enterobacteriaceae
Description: partial 23S ribosomal RNA
Rfam family: Bacterial large subunit ribosomal RNA
Source: RNAcentral